GUCCACGGCCACGCCACCCUGAACGCGCCCGAUCCCGUCCGAUCUCGGAAGCUAAGCAGGGUCGGGCCUGGUUAGUACUUGGAUGGGAGACCACCUAGGAAGACCAGGUGCUGUAGGCU
RNAcentral lists this ribosomal RNA (119 nucleotides) under Pteropus alecto (black flying fox). The record is from RNAcentral. Lineage: Eukaryota; Metazoa; Chordata; Mammalia; Chiroptera; Pteropodidae.